GCAAUCACAGGGGAAGGAUGGCCAGCCACACAGGAGGGUGAUUUUCACUACGGAGUAGGAGGCCGUGCUGAUGGAGAUGCAUGCUGGCCAUUUCGGAGUGAAGCGUAUCCUUGGCAAAAUAAACCUACGCUUCUUCUGGAGUGGGAUUGUCAAGGAUGUGGACAGCUGGGCAAAUUAAAUAACCUUUUGUUUAUCAAUCACAUUCUAUUAUAUCUGACAUUGACUGUCAUAUCAGAGAGCACACAAUGUUUCAAUGUGCCACGUUGUGCCUAAAGGUCAGUACCUGUCUAGUCUGCCAGAAGUUUAAGAGGGUGAAGACUGUGGCGCCGGAGUUGAUGCCCAUCAGUUGUUUCACCGUGGCACAUGAUUGGUCAACCCAUCAGUUGUUUCACCGUGGCACAUGAUUGGUCAACCCAUUAGUUGUUUCACCGUGGCACAUGAUUGGUCAACCCAUCAGUUGUUUCACCGUGGCACAUGAUUGGUCAACCCAUUAGUUGUUUCACCGUGGCACAUGAUUGGUCAACCCAUUAGUUGUUUCACCAUGGCACAUGAUCGUAAGUGGCACAAGUCACAUUUUACUAAGUUGUUUUGUAAUGGCUGCUUUUAUUUGACCACAACAGAGUUCAAUAUUAUAGAAAUGUGUUUGUGUGUCAGUAUCCUUACACAUAUGAGAAUCUGCAUACUGUAGGACACAGAUACGGGUAAGAAUAAAGUCAACUUCUCUGUAACACUUUAAAUGUUUGGGGUGGAACUCAUCGUACUCUUCACUAAAUCCAGGAUUGGCAACAGCUGGUGUCUGACGGUGACCGAUCACUUUACCAAGUGGGUUGAGGCUAUACCCAUUAAGGUCAGUAAAAGGAAGACAGCGUGCUUAACUCUCCAUUCCCAUCUGUAACCCAUUAAAAAGGGUGGUAGGAACCAAACAGAUAUUUGUUUUGUAUGAUACCCAUCAAGGAUGAAACUGGCGAGGCCACCUCCAAGGCGAUGAUUGACAUUUUCAAAACCCACGGUUCUCCUGAGGUCAUCUCGAAUCACCGAAGUCGUGAACUCUGGAACAAGGUUUGGAUGAAUGGACUAACCAGACCCUCAAGACCCUCUGUAAAGGCUUUCCUCUUCAUCUGAAGAGGAGAGGCGAGAAGGAUCGGAGGACCACUAUGCGGCGUGGUAAGUGUCCAUGGUUCUUUUAAUAAGAAAUACUUAACAUGAACACAACGGAUACAAAAACAAUAAAUGUGAAACGAACGAAAACCGAAACACAGACACGGAAACAAACACCCACAAACACACAGUGAAACCCAGGCUACCUAAGUAUGAUUCUCAAUCAGAGACAACUAAUGACACCUGCCUCUGAUUGAGAAACAUACAAAUCCCAAAAUCAUAGAAAAACAAACAUAGACUGCCCACCCCAACUAACGCCCUGACCAUACUAAAUAAAUACAAAAACAAAAAAAAUAAAGGUCAGAACGUGACACCCUCAAGACAAGUCCCUUGAUGGGUUCCAGGAACGGUCCACACGACAGCAGCAUCCAGGCCUCCACCGAGUACUCGUCCUACCGCCUGCUGUACGGACGUGAGACCUGCAGAUGUUGACUGAUGGUCACCAAUGCAAAGAAAAAGCCGUAUCUCAGACUGGCCAAUAAAAAAAUGGAGGCAGAAGAACUCUGCCUAGAAGGUCAGCAUCCCGGAGUCGGGAUGCCGACCUUGUGAUCUGUAAGGUAAGUUUAAUGUUUAACUUUAAUGUGUCAAGCAGAUUACCACUUUUCUUUGCUAUUUUCCAAAACGUAGCAACGCUUAAGCCAUGGAUUUCAUGUUGAAAUGUUAAUUAACAAGGUACCCAAAAAGUAGUUUGAAGUAAUAUUUCCAUAUUAUUAGCUUAUCAAAAGAAUGUCACGGAAAUCGGCUUUGUUUGCAUAGCGGGGAUGAAAAGAACAUAAUUUAGGCUGUAAUGAUCUCCACAGUUCAACGUAUUUGGGUUAUCACACCGUUGAUAUAGCAACAGACGCU
Molecule: long non-coding RNA, 2004 nt
Filed under: Oncorhynchus mykiss (rainbow trout)
Lineage: Eukaryota; Metazoa; Chordata; Actinopteri; Salmoniformes; Salmonidae
Description: lncRNA (ENSOMYG00000074486.1)
Source: RNAcentral